Molecule: long non-coding RNA, 534 nt
Filed under: Carassius auratus (goldfish)
Lineage: Eukaryota; Metazoa; Chordata; Actinopteri; Cypriniformes; Cyprinidae
Description: lncRNA (ENSCARG00000044082.1)
Source: RNAcentral
AUGGAGAUCCUUAUUAGAUUAACACCGCGUGUGCGCUGUCUACUUUUUAACAGUGGUGAUUUAGUCCAAGGACUCCUGGUGACUUUCCUAACACAAUCACGUUCUAGAAAGCAUUAUGAAGGGAAAAUGGAGAGUUUGUUUGGGAGGGCCAGUAAUGAGGCAGAUCAUAAUCAUCAAAGUCAUAAUUCCACUUGUGGUCAGCCACUUACUGGACCUGGUGAAUCAGAUUCAGUCUCUGUGAUAUACCCUGAGCAGAGAUGGGGCAGAGAAGAUGAUUUAGACCAGAGCAAGCUACUUCCUGAGCAACCGGACAGCAGGUACUAUGAAGAGCUCAUCCGGCCUAAAAAGCUCCACAAUCCCAUCAAAACAUCCAAGAGCCACCGGGAACUCCAGAGAGAGCUGAUUAUUACACACAAAAGUUGCACACUGGCAAAGAAUUUGAGUUUGAAACAAUUUUUAACCACGAACAAGCUUAGUUGCAGCCUUAAUGUAUCACCUGACCCAAUUCCUAAUCUCAAUUCAAACGCGGUUUAA